Non-coding RNA from Pelobates cultripes (western spadefoot toad), 313 nucleotides. The record is from the annotation of a GenBank genome assembly. Lineage: Eukaryota; Metazoa; Chordata; Amphibia; Anura; Pelobatidae.
CGGUAUCCCGGUGGGCCAGUCCGGCCCUGCUCCCCAGUGGUUUCAUUGGACAUCGCAGCUCUUUAACAGCACAGUCGGGCCCCUGUCAGACUGGCAAUGCUGGGAGCAAGUUAGUUCUGGUCACUUUCUCACAACUUACAAAGCGAGACACGUCGUCUAGGAGGAGGCACGGCGAAAAGAGGGGAGCGAGGAAGAAGAGAGCUGGGACCAUACUGCCUCAGCCAGCAGCCGGAUACCAGUGUACUCUGUGAAAACUACCAGCCUGAACUCGAAAGGUAAGGAAACAGGAGAGUGGCUAAAUAUUUGGAAAAAC